Molecule: microRNA precursor, 103 nt
Filed under: Marmota monax (woodchuck)
Lineage: Eukaryota; Metazoa; Chordata; Mammalia; Rodentia; Sciuridae
Source: RNAcentral
AGUGGAAUAGCUGGGUCAAAUGGUGAUCCCAUUCCCAAUUUUCUGAGGACUCUCCAUACUGCUUCCCAUAGUGGUUGCACCAAUUUGCCUUCCUAUCAGCAAU